This is an RNA transcript of Triticum dicoccoides, 2980 nucleotides long. RefSeq lists it as uncharacterized. The record is from RefSeq and is a predicted model, not a curated record. The transcript is spliced from 4 exons. NCBI's taxonomy places the organism in Eukaryota, Viridiplantae, Streptophyta, Magnoliopsida, Poales, Poaceae.
UAUCCGCUCGCUUGCUCUUGCUCGCUGUCCCUCUCCUCUCCCUCGCCGGCCACCUUAUCCCCUUUCCUCGUCACCUCUCCCUCGCCAGCCUCUCCUCUCCGUGGCCGGCCACUCCCUUUCCUCGUCGCCGCAUUCCCCCUCUCCUAGUCACCGGCAUCUUCCUCUUUCCGUCGCCGGCCUCUUCCACUGCCCCUUUCUCCCCACCACCCAGCCUUCACUCACACCCCGUAGGCAAAAUUGAUUCUUUUUGCAUCGGCGACGAGCUUCUCUAUGACGGAGGCAUGGAUGUGUAGCAGCGUCAGAGCUGGAUAUGGGCUAGGGGCGUGGAUGUGGAGCGGCACCCGAGGGGACCUAGAGCGACGGAUCUCACGAGUUGGAGCAGCGCCCGAGCGGACCUAGAUUGGCGGCGGAGCAGCAGAGCGGCGGAUCUGACGAGUCGGAGCAGCGCCUGAGCGGACCUAGAGUGGCGCCGGAGCCUCCACGUCGUCGUCGUGCACACGUCGUUGUACAGACCAUUGACUAGAGUCCAGACUUGAAAACCAUUCAGAAAUUGCAAAUCAUUCAGUGAGCGGGGGCAUAAUUCAAACACACAUCCACCAGUGAAGGUUCUCCUCUUUUCACUUCACCAAUUUGAAUAAAUUUAGUUACCAGCUCCAUCCAGUCCAUCCACCAGUGGAAAAAAGGUUGAUCCACCAUCCUCCAGACUUGUUGGAGGAAAAGUUCCUCUUCCUGAUUUUCUUCUUUAAAAUCUGCUGCUUCAUCGAUUGGCAAAGAAGCAUGGAAAAGAAACUGUUAACGUUAAUUAUCUCUCCUGGAGUAGUUCUUGUGCUACUGAAAGCAGUAGUAACUAUUGUUAUUUUUUUGCACAUGAAGCCUCAGUAAUGCAGUAGCUUAAUUUUGGAGUAAAAUGGAGUAUAGUAUUGUUUUGUUUGCAGUAGUUUUUCAGUAUACCAAAUUUGGUGGUAUUCAGUGCAAUUCUAAUGGGUCUUCUCUUCUUGCUGCUGAAUUCUAAAUUCUGAAUUGUGAAUUCCGUUGACCAGCUCCGCGGGUCGCUGGGCUUCUGGUGAAGAUCUUCGUGUGGGUCCUGGAGAUGCCGGUGGUGGGCUGGAGACUGCCUCCCCGCACGCCAAAUCAGAUUCAAUAAUUUGGUCGAAAAGGGACGGCAUGCUGAGGUGUACAAAGGACAACUUGCUGAUGGACAAUUUGUGGCAGUGAAGGGGUUAACAAAAAUACUUAACCAAGCAUGCUGAGGGGCAAAGAAUUUGCAGCUUCAAACACAUCAAUACUGUUGUCAUAUUUUGCUGAAGGUAUGCUAUCAUAACCAAACAUCAUGUUCUGCAGCUAGCUGUUGGUGAAGUGUGAUUUUCUCACAAUAUAAGACAUCCGGACUCUAUCCUUGGUGGUCGAGGAGCGUUAGCCAACUUUGUCUUGCUGAUCUACGGCUAAAUAAUUAUGUUGAAUCUUGCUGUUGUGGUCAUGCAACUAUUUCCAGGUAUGAUCUAAUGACUCGUCGGAAAGAAACCUGUCACAAAGAGCCUUUUGGCUUAACCCUCAUUACAUGUGGUAAUUUGGGUAAUACUUUGAAAUUGUGGAUGUGUCCUGGUUGCAAUUUCCUGAACCCAUACAGGUGCAGAGUACAAUGCUUUCUGGUAGAAAACCAUUAAUAAAAGAAUAGACAAAUUGUUAUUCUAUUCUGUUCUACACAAAUAGGGGUAAUAGAAUGAAUUGGCUUAUUCACAUUUCACAUUCAUUUUAGCUAAUCAUUCUGCCAUUUAGUGCUCCAUAUCAGUGUGCAAGCUUAGUAGUGGUUUAUUUUCAGUGAUGGUCUUGUAGAAGAUGAACCACAUAAAGGAAAUCUAUCUAUCAUAAAAAAGAGGAUGUGCAUGUGUCUUGUAGGGUUGACGGAUUCAUUGAUCACCACACAAAGUAGGUAGUUUGGGGAAAAGAAUGAAGUUGGACUACUAAAAUCGAAGAAAAUACUCUAUGAAUUUUGUCAUGUUGUCUCUAGAACAACUUGUAAAUGGUCUGCACAAGUUUCUUAGUUCUUGUACUGCACCCCAUUUUUUCAGAAAUUGAAUCUACUCCGGUGUCCAGUGUUAGCUAAGAGCUAACAUGAGUACAAGAAUUUUCUGUAGAGAUUGUUGCAAGGAGACAUCUCUGUCUAGUGUUAGGUAAAUUUUAUUGGUCUCAACAUUGGUCUAUCUAUGCAUUGGUCUCACAUUUUAUUUUAAGGACAUUUGAGUACUCUUCAAAUAUUUUCAGACCAUCACUGAAAAUACGCAUACACUGAAUUUUCUGUUACAUACACUUUUCACUUCUUCUUUAACUGUAUUUUCUGUUACAUACACUCUGCACUUCUGCUUUAACUGAAUUAAUUUUUCGGGUUUUGUACAUCAACCUACUGAAAACAUUUUUUCUCUGUGUUCAUCCAGCAGAAAUCCAUGCAAUUCUGAUCAAAAUCAUUGUGCAUAUGCGGGAGCAGAAACGAGCAGUGAGAAGCAGCGGCGGCUGACCUCGAGCUCUCGGUUGGAGUGGAGGGAGGCGGCCGACGAGGAAGGAUUCGAAGCUGCGGCGGAGCAAGCAGCCGGUGGGGAAAGGCGGCCGCCGGUGAGGGAGCUCCGGACCGCGGCGAGGGAGCUUUCGAUCGCGGCGGGGAAGGGCGACCAGAGGGGAUCGGGCUCUCAAUUGGAGCGGCGCAGGCAACCGGCGGGGAAGGGCGCCGGAUAUGUGGACGAGGAGGAGCUCGGCGAAGGGGAGGAGCGCCGGAGGAAGACGACGGAGUCCUGGCGGAGGGAAGGAGCGACGGAGGAAGACGACGGCCCGUGCGAUUUCAAAUCGGUGGGUGGGGGAGGGGCAGUUUGGUAAUUUCACUCGUUUUCACCUGGUCGGAAAACCCCCUCCAAUGACAAUUAUUUCGAAACGGAGGGAGUAUAUGUUGUUAUGAAUUACCAAAACCACCUAGGGAUAGUUGCACUUUCAA